ACCCGCUGAACUUAAGCAUAUCAAUAAGCGGAGGAAAAGAAACCAACAGGGAUUGCCUCAGUAACGGCGAGUGAAGCGGCAACAGCUCAGAUUUGAAAUCUGGCCCCGUGUGGGGUCCGAGUUGUAGUCUGGAGAGGAUGCUUCGGGGGCGCGAUCGGGUCUAAGUUCCUUGGAACAGGACGUCAGAGAGGGUGAGAAUCCCGUCUGUGGCCCGGCCUUGCCCCUGGGUGAAGCUCCCUCGACGAGUCGAGUUGUUUGGGAAUGCAGCUCAAAUUGGGUGGUAAAUCUCAUCUAAAGCUAAAUACCGGCCAGAGACCGAUAGCGCACAAGUAGAGUGAUCGAAAGAUGAAAAGCACUUUGGAAAGAGAGUUAAACAGCACGUGAAAUUGUUGAAAGGGAAGCGCUUGCGAUCAGACUUGUCCGUGGUCCGUCACCGUAGGGUCUUCCCGCGGUGUUAGGGGCCGCGGUCAGGCCAGCAUCGGUCUGGGUGGUGGAAUGAAGGCCCUGGGAAUGUGGCUCCUCUCGGGGAGCGUUAUAGCCUAGGGUCCCACGUCGCCGCUCGGACCGAGGCCCGCGCUCCGGCAAGGAUGCUGGCGUAAUGGUCGC
This 606-nucleotide ribosomal RNA is filed under the name uncultured fungus. RNAcentral describes it as "eukaryotic LSU rRNA". It matches the Rfam family "Eukaryotic large subunit ribosomal RNA", at positions 23 to 641 of the family's 3401-position model. The record is from RNAcentral. Lineage: Eukaryota; Fungi.